GUGUCAGCCGCCGCGGUAAUACGGAGGAUGCAAGCGUUGUCCGGAUUCAUUGGGUUUAAAGGGUGCGUAGGCGGAGAAUUAAGUCAGUGGUGAAAGCUUACAGCUUAACUGUAAAAAUGCCAUUGAAACUGAUUUUCUUGAGUUCGAUUGAGGUAGAUGGAAUGUAUCAUGUAGCGGUGAAAUGCUUAGAUAUGAUACAGAACACCAAUUGCGAAGGCAGUCUACUAAGUCGAUACUGACGCUGAGGCACGAAAGCAUGGGGAGCAAACAGGAUUAGAAACCCUCGUAGUCC
RNAcentral lists this ribosomal RNA (292 nucleotides) under uncultured Sphingobacteriales bacterium. RNAcentral describes it as "partial 16S ribosomal RNA". It matches the Rfam family "Bacterial small subunit ribosomal RNA", at positions 505 to 796 of the family's 1533-position model. Lineage: Bacteria; Pseudomonadati; Bacteroidota; Sphingobacteriia; Sphingobacteriales. The record is from RNAcentral.